Molecule: transfer RNA, 76 nt
Filed under: Neolewinella agarilytica
Lineage: Bacteria; Pseudomonadati; Bacteroidota; Saprospiria; Saprospirales; Lewinellaceae
Description: Lewinella agarilytica tRNA_Cys_GCA
Rfam family: tRNA
About the family: Transfer RNA (tRNA) molecules are approximately 80 nucleotides in length. Their secondary structure includes four short double-helical elements and three loops (D, anti-codon, and T loops).
Source: RNAcentral
GACAUUGUACCCAAUACUGGCUAUGGGGUAGGCUUGCAAUUCCUAUUUAAUCCCGGUUCGAUUCCGGGCGAUGUCU